AAUGGGUCAGCGACUUAUAUUCUGUAGCAAGGUUAACCGAAUAGGGGAGCCGAAGGGAAACCGAGUCUUAACUGGGCGUUAAGUUGCAGGGUAUAGACCCGAAACCCGGUGAUCUAGCCAUGGGCAGGUUGAAGGUUGGGUAACACUAACUGGAGGACCGAACCGACUAAUGUUGAAAAAUUAGCGGAUGACUUGUGGCUGGGGGUGAAAGGCCAAUCAAACCGGGAGAUAGCUGGUUCUCCCCGAAAGCUAUUUAGGUAGCGCCUCGUGAAUUCAUCUCCGGGGGUAGAGCACUGUUUCGGCAAGGGGGUCAUCCCGACUUACCAACCCGAUGCAAACUGCGAAUACCGGAGAAUGUUAUCACGGGAGACACACGGCGGGUGCUAACGUCCGUCGUGAAGAGGGAAACAACCCAGACCGCCAGCUAAGGUCCCAAAGUCAUGGUUAAGUGGGAAACGAUGUGGGAAGGCCCAGACAGCCAGGAUGUUGGCUUAGAAGCAGCCAUCAUUUAAAGAAAGCGUAAUAGCUCACUGGUCGAGUCGGCCUGCGCGGAAGAUGUAACGGGGCUAAACCAUGCACCGAAGCUGCGGCAGCGACACUGUGUGUUGUUGGGUAGGGGAGCGUUCUGUAAGCCUGUGAAGGUGUACUGUGAGGUAUGCUGGAGGUAUCAGAAGUGCGAAUGCUGACAUAAGUAACGAUAAAGCGGGUGAAAAGCCCGCUCGCCGGAAGACCAAGGGUUCCUGUCCAACGUUAAUCGGGGCAGGGUGAGUCGACCCCUAAGGCGAGGCCGAAAGGCGUAGUCGAUGGGAAACAGGUUAAUAUUCCUGUACUUGGUGUUACUGCGAAGGGGGGACGGAGAAGGCUAUGUUGGCCGGGCGACGGUUGUCCCGGUUUAAGCGUGUAGGCUGGUUUUCCAGGCAAAUCCGGAAAAUCAAGGCUGAGGCGUGAUGACGAGGCACUACGGUGCUGAAGCAACAAAUGCCCUGCUUCCAGGAAAAGCCUCUAAGCAUCAGGUAACAUCAAAUCGUACCCCAAACCGACACAGGUGGUCAGGUAGAGAAUACCAAGGCGCUUGAGAGAACUCGGGUGAAGGAACUAGGCAAAAUGGUGCCGUAACUUCGGGAGAAGGCACGCUGAUAUGUAGGUGAAGUCCCUCGCGGAUGGAGCUGAAAUCAGUCGAAGAUACCAGCUGGCUGCAACUGUUUAUUAAAAACACAGCACUGUGCAAACACGAAAGUGGACGUAUACGGUGUGACGCCUGCCCGGUGCCGGAAGGUUAAUUGAUGGGGUCAGCGCA
RNAcentral lists this ribosomal RNA (1297 nucleotides) under Escherichia coli. RNAcentral describes it as "partial 23S ribosomal RNA". It matches the Rfam family "Bacterial large subunit ribosomal RNA", at positions 614 to 1897 of the family's 2925-position model. The record is from RNAcentral. Lineage: Bacteria; Pseudomonadati; Pseudomonadota; Gammaproteobacteria; Enterobacterales; Enterobacteriaceae.